AGGCGACGACGGGUAGCCGGCCUGAGAGGGCGACCGGCCACACUGGGACUGAGACACGGCCCAGACUCCUACGGGAGGCAGCAGUGGGGAAUAUUGCACAAUGGGCGCAAGCCUGAUGCAGCGACGCCGCGUGAGGGAUGACGGCCUUCGGGUUGUAAACCUCUUUCAGCAGGGAAGAAGCGAGAGUGACGGUACCUGCAGAAGAAGCGCCGGCUAACUACGUGCCAGCAGCCGCGGUAAUACGUAGGGCGCAAGCGUUGUCCGGAAUUAUUGGGCGUAAAGAGCUCGUAGGCGGCUUGUCGCGUCGGUUGUGAAAGCCCGGGGCUUAACCCCGGGUCUGCAGUCGAUACGGGCAGGCUAGAGUUCGGUAGGGGAGAUCGGAAUUCCUGGUGUAGCGGUGAAAUGCGCAGAUAUCAGGAGGAACACCGGUGGCGAAGGCGGAUCUCUGGGCCGAUACUGACGCUGAGGAGCGAAAGCGUGGGGAGCGAACAGGAUUAGAUACCCUGGUAGUCCACGCCGUAAACGGUGGGCACUAGGUGUGGGCAACAUUCCACGUUGUCCGUGCCGCAGCUAACGCAUUAAGCGCCCCGCCUGGGGAGUACGGCCGCAAGGCUAAAACUCAAGGAAUUGACGGGGGCCCGCACAAGCGGCGGAGCAUGCGGAUUAAUUCGAUGCAACGCGAAGAACCUUACCUGGGUUUGACAUAUGCGAGAACCCUCUAGAGAUAGAGGGCUCUUUGGACACUCGCAUACAGGUGGUGCAUGGCUGUCGUCAGCUCGUGUC
RNAcentral lists this ribosomal RNA (783 nucleotides) under uncultured bacterium. RNAcentral's name for it is "bacterial SSU rRNA". It matches the Rfam family "Bacterial small subunit ribosomal RNA", at positions 271 to 1066 of the family's 1533-position model. The record is from RNAcentral.